CAGGGAUUGAAGGCCUUUCAGAGAGUCCAGCAUGUGAUAAAACAGUCCAUUUGUGAAUCGGUGUUUUUACCUAGAUUGAAUUCGUACUAAGAAUCAGUGGAGUGUUAACACAAGAAGAUAAAGAAAAUUGCAGGGCAAGAUACAUGAGUGACUUACUUCCUCUACCAAGGCUUCAUCUCCUACCUUUCACCACUUCACAAUAAUGCCAUUGUGUUAUGAAUUCACUGAGUGAUUAAUAUACUCUUUGUGUCUGUGCCCCCACUAUAUAAUUGUCUGUGGAAAUGCUAUCACAGACACGUCAGAGUUGUGCUUUGUUUAUCCCCUGGUUUUUUUUUUCAUCCAAUCAAGUUUAUACUCAUAGCCAUCACAAGAUUUGUGGAAGAAAAGGGAAAAGAAAGCCUAAUGGAGAAAUGAGUGCACAAGAGAUUGUAUCCUAAAUUCAGAAUUAUUGACCUUAGAACAUCUGAAAAUUAAAGCUAUGUGGAACAAAUAC
Jaculus jaculus (lesser Egyptian jerboa) is the source of this 493-nucleotide long non-coding RNA. RefSeq lists it as uncharacterized. NCBI's taxonomy places the organism in Eukaryota, Metazoa, Chordata, Mammalia, Rodentia, Dipodidae. The record is from RefSeq and is a predicted model, not a curated record. The transcript has 2 exons.